AUUGAACGCUGGCGGCAUGCCUUACACAUGCAAGUCGAACGGCAGCAUAGGAGCUUGCUCCUGAUGGCGAGUGGCGAACGGGUGAGUAAUAUAUCGGAACGUGCCCUAGAGUGGGGGAUAACUAGUCGACAGACUAGCUAAUACCGCAUACGAUCUACGGAUGAAAGUGGGGGAUCGCAAGACCUCAUGCUCCUGGAGCGGCCGAUAUCGGAUUAGCUAGUUGGUGGGGUAAAAGCCUACCAAGGCAACGAUCAGUAGCUGGUCUGAGAGGACGACCAGCCACACUGGGACUGAGACACGGCCCAGACUCCUACGGGAGGCAGCAGUGGGGAAUUUUGGACAAUGGGGCAACCCUGAUCCAGCAAUGCCGCGUGAGUGAAGAAGGCCUUCGGGUUGUAAAGCUCUUUUGUCAGGGAAGAAACGGUAGUAGCGAAUAACUACUACUAAUGACGGUACCUGAAGAAUAAGCACCGGCUAACUACGUGCCAGCCGCCGCCGUAA
RNAcentral lists this ribosomal RNA (501 nucleotides) under uncultured bacterium. RNAcentral describes it as "partial 16S ribosomal RNA". It matches the Rfam family "Bacterial small subunit ribosomal RNA", at positions 30 to 523 of the family's 1533-position model. The record is from RNAcentral.